RNAcentral lists this unclassified non-coding RNA (391 nucleotides) under soil metagenome. RNAcentral describes it as "partial contains 5.8S ribosomal RNA, internal transcribed spacer 2, and large subunit ribosomal RNA". The stretch from base 1 to 122 matches the Rfam family "5.8S ribosomal RNA", at positions 35 to 154 of the family's 154-position model. The record is from RNAcentral.
GAUGAAGAACGCAGUGAAAUGCGAUACUUGGUGUGAAUUGCAGAAUCCCGUGAACCAUCGAGUCUUUGAACGCAAGUUGCGCCCGAAGCCACUAGGCCGAGGGCACGCCUGCCUGGGCGUCACACGCCGUUGCCCCCCCAUCUCCUCCUUCGGGAUUGCGGGGGGGCGGAUGAUGGCCUCCUGUGCGCCUAGCCGCGCGGUUGGCAUAAAUACCAAGUCCUCGGCGACGCACGCCACGACAAUCGGUGGUUGCGAAACCUCGGUUGCCCGUCGUGUGCGUUCGUCGCGCAUCGAGGGCUCGAAAAAAUGCUCGGCUCCGGCUGGGCUUUCAACGCGACCCCAGGUCAGGCGGGGUUACCCGCUGAAUUUAAGCAUAUCAAUAAGCGGAGGA